Molecule: ribosomal RNA, 292 nt
Filed under: uncultured bacterium
Lineage: Bacteria
Description: partial 16S ribosomal RNA
Rfam family: Bacterial small subunit ribosomal RNA
Source: RNAcentral
GUGCCAGCAGCCGCGGUAAUACGAAGGGGGCUAGCGUUGCUCGGAAUCACUGGGCGUAAAGGGCGCGUAGGCGGCCAUUCAAGUCGGGGGUGAAAGCCUGUGGCUCAACCACAGAAUUGCCUUCGAUACUGUUUGGCUUGAGUAUGGCAGAGGUCAGUGGAACUGCGAGUGUAGAGGUGAAAUCCGUAGAUAUUCGCAAGAACACCAGUGGCGAAGGCGGCUGACUGGGCCAUUACUGACGCUGAGGCGCGAAAGCGUGGGGAGCAAACAGGAUUAGAUACCCUGGUAGUCC